UGAACGCUGGCGGCGUGCCUAAUACAUGCAAGUCGAGCGAACAGACGAGGAGCUUGCUCCUCUGACGUUAGCGGCGGACGGGUGAGUAACACGUGGAUAACCUACCUAUAAGACUGGGAUAACUUCGGGAAACCGGAGCUAAUACCGGAUAAUAUAUUGAACCGCAUGGUUCAAUAGUGAAAGACGGUUUUGCUGUCACUUAUAGAUGGAUCCGCGCCGCAUUAGCUAGUUGGUAAGGUAACGGCUUACCAAGGCAACGAUGCGUAGCCGACCUGAGAGGGUGAUCGGCCACACUGGAACUGAGACACGGUCCAGACUCCUACGGGAGGCAGCAGUAGGGAAUCUUCCGCAAUGGGCGAAAGCCUGACGGAGCAACGCCGCGUGAGUGAUGAAGGUCUUCGGAUCGUAAAACUCUGUUAUUAGGGAAGAACAAAUGUGUAAGUAACUACGCACGUCUUGACGGUACCUAAUCAGAAAGCCACGGCUAACUACGUG
Molecule: ribosomal RNA, 495 nt
Filed under: uncultured bacterium
Lineage: Bacteria
Description: partial 16S ribosomal RNA
Rfam family: Bacterial small subunit ribosomal RNA
Source: RNAcentral